RNAcentral lists this long non-coding RNA (551 nucleotides) under Ananas comosus (pineapple). RNAcentral's name for it is "long non-coding RNA (ACOM_LNC018027)". The record is from RNAcentral. Lineage: Eukaryota; Viridiplantae; Streptophyta; Magnoliopsida; Poales; Bromeliaceae.
ACAAAUAUUUUUAAAUAGUCAUACAAAAUUAAUGUCUAAAGUAGAACAACUCUAAAUUUUUUUUAACAUAUUAAAUACAUUUAAAUUAUAAAUUUUUUAACCUACAUUCAAAAUUUUUUAAAUAAGUGAUACAAAAUUAAUGUCUAAAAUAUAGGAAUUUAAAAGUUUCUUAAAUAUAUUAAAUAUGUUGAAUUAAAAUAUUUACCAACAUUACAAUUUUUUAAAAUAGUAAUACAAAAUUCCUCUAAUUUAAAUUUCACUUUUAAAUUUUAAAUAUUUAAUAUUUAAAAUUUAAAUUCAUCGCAUUUAGAAAUAGAACUAUUUCUAAAAUUUCUAUAAUUUAAAUUAAUGCAUAAUUUUAGAAACACUAAAACAUUUAAAGUAGAUGCCUAAAUAAUCCUUUUACCUGCUAAAUAUUAAAAUUACAUUUUUACCCUCUAUUAAUCAACGGUUAAGAUCUUUUUUAUUUUUUUUUUUAAAAGUACCGAAUUAUUUCUCUUCUCCAUAUUAUUCUACUGCAUCUUUUCUUUUCUAUUCUCUUUUUUUUUUUU